CAGGAAAAAGCUUGCUUUUUUGCUGACGACCGGCGCACGGGUGCGGAACGCGUAUGGAACCUGCCCCUAUCAGGGGAAUAGCCUUUAGAAAUGAAGAUUAAUGCCCCAUAGCAACAGUUUAUCGCAUGAUUUACUGUUUAAAGAACUUCGGAUAGGGAUGGCCAUGCGUAUCAUUAGCUAGUUGGUGAGGUAACGGCUCACCAAAGCAACGAUGAUUAGGGGCCCUGAGAGGGGGAUCCCCCACACUGGUACUGAGACACGGACCAGACUCCUACGGGAGGCAGCAGUGAGGAAUAUUGGACAAUGGCCGAAAGGUUGAUCCAGCCAUGCCGCGUGCAGGAUGACGGCCCUAUGGGUUGUAAACUGCUUUUAUACGGGAAGAAACCACCCUACGUGUAGGGUGCUGACGGUACCGUAAGAAUAAGGACCGGCUAACUCCGUGCCAGCAGCCGCGGUAAUACGGAGGGUCCGAGCGUUAUCCGGAAUCAUUGGGUUUAAAGGGUCCGUAGGCGGGCCAAUAAGUCAGGGGUGAAAGGCCACAGCUCAACUGUGGGACUGCCUUUGAUACUGUUGGUCUUGAGUUAUAGUGGGGUUGCCGGAACAUGUGGUGUAGCGGUGAAAUGCAUAGAUAUCACAUAGAACACCGAUCGCGAAGGCAGGUGACCAACUAUAUACUGACGCUGAUGGACGAAAGCGUGGGAGCGAACGGGAUUAGAUACCCCGGUAGUCCACGCCGUAAACGAUGGAUACUAGCUGUAGGGUUUUCGGACUCUGUUGCCAGCGAAAGUGAUAAGUAUCCCACCUGGGGAGUACGUUCGCAGGAAUGAAACUCAAAGGAA
This 839-nucleotide ribosomal RNA is filed under the name Cytophaga sp. PB03. Its description in RNAcentral is "bacterial SSU rRNA". It matches the Rfam family "Bacterial small subunit ribosomal RNA", at positions 69 to 909 of the family's 1533-position model. The record is from RNAcentral. Lineage: Bacteria; Pseudomonadati; Bacteroidota; Cytophagia; Cytophagales; Cytophagaceae.